AGAAAAUUAGUUUAAAUAAAAACAAUUUGUUUACACCAAAUCAAUCCAAAAAGGAUUUUCUA
This 62-nucleotide transfer RNA is filed under the name Columbicola columbae (slender pigeon louse). RNAcentral describes it as "tRNA-Val". The record is from RNAcentral. Lineage: Eukaryota; Metazoa; Arthropoda; Insecta; Psocodea; Philopteridae.